UAUUCUUUUUACAGAUAUACCGUGAUCUACAGAUACGGUACGCGCUAGGAGAGAUAGAUUGUUACAUUUCAAGUUCAAGUCUCUAAUUUAUGGUUGAUUAAGAUAAUCUAUACUCUAGACGGAUGAGCCAUAGUCCAAAGAUAUGGUUCGUACCUAUCCGAGGUAAAUUAUGCUGCUUCUUAAUUACAAAUCUCAUCAUUACGAUAUAAAAAUAAAAGAAAAUAGAAUCUGUUUUACAUAGUGGAUUUUGAAUUUUUGAGGUUUCUUUCCUAUUCAAUUUUCUUUCAUGAAUUAAACUUAAAAUUAUUAUUUUCUUAGUAAUUAAUUAAAAUCAAUCUUCUCUUUCUUUUAUUAAUUAUAAAUAAUUGUCCGAGAUUUCUGUGAAACGAUCCUGAUUCACCCUAGCUACGUAGUAAGUUAGAAUUAGGUUUAUUUUUGGUGAUGACACGCAUCACCGGUCAUCCAAAUAGAGGGGGUGGAGAAAGAGGCACUCUCAUGCCCAACAGUCGGUGGUGAUCGCCACCCUCGUUCCACUCCAAAAUGGGAGCCCGACCUAGUCAAGAGGCAGGCAGGGCGCCAGCAGCGACGGAUGAAGGCCGCAUUCGGAUUGCUUCAGUAGGGCACUAAGGACCCCAUGAAGGAGGUCCCUAGCAGGGAACAACUAUACAGUCCAGUGGCCAUCCUUCUUGGAAGUAUAUGCUUUGUGGAUACCCCACCAG
This 719-nucleotide long non-coding RNA is filed under the name Elaeis guineensis (African oil palm). Its description in RNAcentral is "long non-coding RNA (EGUI_LNC024438)". Lineage: Eukaryota; Viridiplantae; Streptophyta; Magnoliopsida; Arecales; Arecaceae. The record is from RNAcentral.